This 69-nucleotide transfer RNA is filed under the name Conocephalus melaenus. RNAcentral's name for it is "tRNA-Gln". Lineage: Eukaryota; Metazoa; Arthropoda; Insecta; Orthoptera; Tettigoniidae. The record is from RNAcentral.
UAUAUUUAGGUGUAUGAUGCACAAAGAUUUUUGAUGUCUUAGGAAAUAGUUUAAGUCUAUUAAAUAUAG